GAACAGGCUUUGUUCCCGCUGUCUGGGAGGGAUAGGAAUGUCCUCCGCACAGCUGGGAGUGCAGCUUGGCUUCAGGUAAGGAAACAGAGGCAUGACGAGGCUAAUUAACUUGCACAGAUUGCACAGCUAACAAGUGAUGGAGCCAGAAAAGGAAGCAGGUGUCUCCAGAGCUUGCACUGAUUCCACAAGCUAUGAAGUGAAGGCAUUUAUUGUCCUGACCCCGUGCAGUUCCUGUCCCAUUAUCCAACCCAGCUCACCAAGUUGCUGCAGCAGCAUGCGAAGUCCGAAGUCCAAGACGCCCCAUACAAGUACCUGGGGAAGGCUCAGUCCCCCAGAUUCUCUGCUCCACUCCAGCUCUGCUCAGGGGUCCUCUCACCACUGACCUCUGUCCAUUCCAC
This is a non-coding RNA of Microcebus murinus (gray mouse lemur), 398 nucleotides long. The record is from RefSeq and is a predicted model, not a curated record. NCBI's taxonomy places the organism in Eukaryota, Metazoa, Chordata, Mammalia, Primates, Cheirogaleidae.